GCACUGAUGGCCGAGUGGCUAACGCUUUUGCCUUCGACUCCAAGGGUCCCCGGUUCGACUCCCCGCUAGACA
Molecule: non-coding RNA, 72 nt
Organism: Caenorhabditis elegans
Lineage: Eukaryota; Metazoa; Nematoda; Chromadorea; Rhabditida; Rhabditidae
Source: the annotation of a RefSeq genome assembly